GCCCCCAUAGCUUAAUGGCAAAGCCGCUGGCUCUUAACCAGUUAAUGCGGGUCCGAUUCCUGCUGGGGGCACAA
RNAcentral lists this transfer RNA (74 nucleotides) under bacterium (Candidatus Gribaldobacteria) CG08_land_8_20_14_0_20_39_15. Its description in RNAcentral is "tRNA-Lys". It matches the Rfam family "tRNA". From Rfam's summary of the family: Transfer RNA (tRNA) molecules are approximately 80 nucleotides in length. Their secondary structure includes four short double-helical elements and three loops (D, anti-codon, and T loops). Further hydrogen bonds mediate the characteristic L-shaped molecular structure. tRNAs have two regions of fundamental functional importance: the anti-codon, which is responsible for specific mRNA codon recognition, and the 3' end, to which the tRNAs corresponding amino acid is attached (by aminoacyl-tRNA synthetases). tRNAs cope with the degeneracy of the genetic code in two manners: having more than one tRNA (with a specific anti-codon) for a particular amino acid; and 'wobble' base-pairing, i.e. permitting non-standard base-pairing at the 3rd anti-codon position. Lineage: Bacteria; Candidatus Gribaldobacteria. The record is from RNAcentral.